CGGAAAACAGCUGGGCAAGCUCCCCUCGGCUGCCAGGCGGAAGCGCCGCGGCUAACGGAGCCGGCCGAGCGGUGACGGAGAUAGCCGAGCGGGGCCAGGGCGGUACUCGGCGUCACCGUUCGGUCCGUCACGGCGGGGGGGGCGGUGGCGGCCUCGGGCCCUCAGCGCUGGUAGCUGGCGGGGGGCGGUGAGACUCCCGCAGGGCCUGGGGCUCGGUCCUCACAGCGGCUGUGCACCCAUGCAAGGUAAGAAUAGGGGGAGAACCACCAGCUUGCAUUGCACAGCCUCCAGACACCUUCUGGCUGCGGACACGCUGUCUGCCUGGAGAGGAACCAUCCAGGGAGCCCUGUCCUGACUGGGCUCCAUCCCAGGCGGGACACUACCCACACUCCAGGGACCUGCCAUCCCAUGCCACGAGGGUGGAGGUGGGACCUGGCCCAGAAAUACCCAUCACUUCCCUGUUUUUCUUCCCCCUUGCUGAUUCUUCAGGAUUCAACUUCUUGGAAACCAACCUUCAAAACUAGACCUUUGAACCUAUCAAUGAUAUAGAAAAAAGAAUGGUUUUAAUGUUU
Falco peregrinus (peregrine falcon) is the source of this 572-nucleotide long non-coding RNA. RefSeq lists it as uncharacterized. The transcript is spliced from 2 exons. The record is from RefSeq and is a predicted model, not a curated record. Lineage: Eukaryota; Metazoa; Chordata; Aves; Falconiformes; Falconidae.